GUUGUGUGUUGUAUAUUGUUUGUCUAUUUACUCUGAGUAGUCAGGUCCAGACCAUGUGUUGUGUGUUGUUAUAUUUGUUUGUCUAUUUACUCUGAGUAGUCAGGUCCAGACCAUGUGUUGUGUGUUGUUGUAUUUGUUUGUCUAUUUACUCUGAGUAGUCAGGUCCAGACCAUGUGUUGUGUGUUGUUAUAUUUGUUUGUAGUCAGGUCCAGACCAUGUGUUGUGUGUUGUUAUAUUUGUUUGUCUAUUUACUCUGAGUAGUCAGGUCAGGUCCAGAUCAUGUGUUGUGUGUUGUUAUAUUUGUUUGUCUAUUUACUCUGAGUAGUCAGGUCCAGACCAUGUGUUGUUAGUUGUUGUAUUUGUAUUGUCUAUUUACUCUGAGUAGUCAGGUCCAGACCAUGUGUUGUUUGUUGAUAUAUUUGUUUGUCUAUUUACUCUGAAUAGUCAGGUCAGGUCCAGACCAUGUGUUGUGUGUUGUUAUAUUUGUUUGUCUAUUUACUCUGAGUAGUCAGGUCAGGUCUAGACCAUGUGUUGUGUGUUGUCAUAUUUGUUUGUCUAUUUACUCUGAGUAGUCAGGUCCAGACCAUGUGUUGUGUGUUGUGAUAUUUGUUUGUCUAUUUACUCUGAGUAGUCAGGUCAGGUCCAGACCAUGUGUUGUUAUAUUUGUUUGUCUAUUUACUCUGAGUAGUCAGGUCCAGACCAUGUGUUGUUAGUUGUUGUAUUUGUUUGUCUAUUUACUCUGAGUAGUCAGGUCCAGACCAUGUGUUGUUAGUUGUUGUAUUUGUUUGUCUAUUUACUCUGAGUAGUCAGGUCCAGACCAUGUGUUGUUAGUUGUUGUAUUUGUUUGUCUAUUUACUCUGAGUAGUCAGGUCAGGUCCAGACCAUGUGUUGUUUGUUGUUGUAUUUGUUUGUCUAUUUACUCUGAGUAGUCAGGUCCAGACCGUGUGUUGUGUGUUGUUAUAUUUGUUUGUCUAUUUACUCUGAGUAGUCAUGUCAGGUCCAGACCAUGUGUUGUUAUAUUUGUUUGUCUAUUUACUCUGAGUAGUCAGGUCCAGACAAUGUGUUGUUAGUUGUUAUUUGUUUGUCUAUUUACUCUGAGUAGUCAGGUCCAGACCAUGUGUUGUUUGUUGUUAUAUUUGUUUGUCUAUUUACUCUGAGUAGUCAGGUCCAGACCAUGUGUUGUGUGUUGUUAUAUUUGUUUGUCUAUUUACUCUGAGUAGUCAGGUCCAGAUCAUGUGUUGUGUGUUGUUAUAUUUGUUUGUCUAUUUACUCUGAGUAGUCAGGUCCAGACCAUGUGUUGUCAUGUUUGUUUGUCUAUUUACUCUGAGUAGUCCGGUGAGGUCCAGACCAUGUGUUGUGUGUUGUUAUAUUUGUUUGUCUAUUUACUCUGAGUAGUCAGGUCCAGACCAUGUGUUGUAUGUUGUUAUAUUUGUUUGUCUAUUUACUCUGAGUAGUCAGGUCCAGACCAUGUGUUGUGUGUUGUUAUAUUUGUUUGUCUAUUUACUCUGAGUAGUCAGGUCCAGACCAUGUGUUGUUUGUUGUUAUAUUUGUUUGUCUAUUUACUCUGAGUAGUCAGGUCCAGACCAUGUGUUGUUAGUUAUUGUAUUUGUUGUCUAUUUACUAUGAGUAGUCAGGUCCAGACCAUGUGUUGUGUGUUGUUUUAUUUGUUUGUCUAUUUACUCUGAGUAGUCAGGUCAGGUUCAGACCAUGUGUUGUGUUGUUACAUUUGUUUGAUAUCACAUUUGAGUAGCCAGGUCCAGACUAUGUGUUGUAAAUUGUUAUAUGCAGUGAGGUCCAAACCAUGUGUUGUGUGUUGUUGUAUUUUAUGUCUUUUUACUCUGAGUAUUCAGGUCAGGUCCAGAUCAUGUGUUGUCUGUUGUUACAUUUGUUUGUAUAUUUACUCUUGAGUAGUCAGGUCCAGACCAUGUGUUGUUUGUUGUUAUAUUAAUUGUCUAUUUACUCUGAGUAGUCAGGUCCAGACCAUGUGUUGUGUGUUGUUCUAUUAAUUGUCUAUUUACUCUGAAGUAGUCAGGUCCAGACCAUGUGUUGUCUGUUGUUACAUUUGUUUGUAUAUUUACUCUUGAGCAGUCAGGUCCAGACCAUGUGUUGUUAGUUGUUGUAUUUGUUUGUCUAUUUACUGUGAGUAGUCAGGUCCAGACCAUGUGUUGUUUGUUGUUGUAUUUGUUUGUCUAUUUACUCUGAGUAGUCAGGUCAGGUCCAGACCAUGUGUUGUCAGUUGUUGUAUUUGUUUGUCUAUUUACUCUGAGUAGUCAGGUCCAGACCAUGUGUUGUGUGUUGUUAUAUUUGUUUGUCUAUUUACUCUGAGUAGUCAGGUCCAGACCAUGUGUUGUGUGUUGUUAUAUUUGUUUGUCUAUUUACUAUGAAUAGUCCAUGUGUUGUUAGUUGUUGUAUUUGUUUGUCUAUUUACUCUCAGUAGUCAGGUCCAGACCAUGUGUUGUUUGUUGUCAUAUUUGUUUGUCUAUUUACUCUGAGUAGUCAGGUGCAGACCAUGUGUUGUAAGUUGUUGAAUUUGUUUGUCUAUUGACUAUGAAUAGU
Molecule: long non-coding RNA, 2556 nt
Filed under: Mytilus galloprovincialis (Mediterranean mussel)
Lineage: Eukaryota; Metazoa; Mollusca; Bivalvia; Mytilida; Mytilidae
Source: RNAcentral